Long non-coding RNA from Tribolium castaneum (red flour beetle), 2338 nucleotides. RefSeq lists it as uncharacterized. NCBI's taxonomy places the organism in Eukaryota, Metazoa, Arthropoda, Insecta, Coleoptera, Tenebrionidae. The transcript has 4 exons. The record is from RefSeq and is a predicted model, not a curated record.
CUUUGAAAUAAAACUGACUGAAGGAUUUGGAAAAACAUGCUUUAGCAAAUAAAACAUUUUACGCGCUCGACCCACUGAUGCUAGACAUUGCUCUGACCAUCCUAACUUAUCAUUUACAAUGACCCCUAGAUCUUUGGUUGAGGUUUUUACACUCAGGAGUGUGCCAUUUAUAUGGUAAAGGUACUUUGGGUUGUUGUGGCCACACUGAAGUACACAGCAUUUUGCAAUAUUUAGUGGUAUUUGCCACUUCUCGCUCCAUUGGAAGAUUAAAUUAAGUUGGUCUUGCAAGUCCGUGACAAGUGGGUUAGCAAAUAACUUAAUAUCAUCCGCAUAUGCUGAAUAGCUGUCCAGUGAAAACAAUAAAUCUGCUGUAUAUAACAAGAAUAAAAUUGGUCCAAGAACUGAUCCCUGUGGGACCCCACUUAAUACUGGUUUAGAGUACGAAAAUUUACCACAGACUUUUACACAAUAGUUUCGAUUUGAUAGAAACGCUCGGAUCCAAUCAAGCAAAUUUCCUGUUACACCAUAGGACUCCAGUUUUGCUAACAAGAGAUUGUGAGGGACUUUAUCAAAGGCUUUACUAAAAUCAAGGUAAAUUAUGUCUACAGGUUGGUUAGUGUCUAACAUUUUUGUCCAUAGAUUUGUGCAGGAUAGCAAAUUUGUGACAACUGACCUACCUGGUAAAAAGCCGUGCUGAUGCUCAGCAUGUCGACGUGAGACUUACAGGUCUAUAGUUAGCAGGAUCAAGUUUAUCUCCUGACUUGUACAAAGGCGUGAUUGUUGCUUGCAACCACUCGUAGGGCAAAGUGCCUUGUAAGAAUGAUUUUGUCAUCAUUUUGGCAAGUGGGCCCGACAACGAAGCAGCACAAGUUCUCAGGAGUUUGGGAGGUAUCUGAUCCGGACCUGGAGCUGUAUUUAAUUUAAUGGCACAGAGUUGGCUUUUUACCAGAUCCGGAGUAAAAUUAAUAUAAGACAACCCACUAAAUGUAGCAGCAAAACUGUCCGCUAAAGUGUUUGCAGUUUCUGUAUGAUCGGAGCAGAGUAGACCUGAAGCAUUUCGUACUAAAGGGACCGACACACGACUAGAGAUAAAUUUACGUACAUGGGAAUAAAAUAGUUUUGGUUUAUUUAAUAUAGAAUUUUCAUAAUUACACCUGGCUAUUUGUAAAUCAGAUUUUAGUUGGUUAGAAAAUCUUUUAUAAGCAGAAAAAUUAUCUUCAGUAGGCUUCCUUUUAAAUUUUUUCCAUAAUUUAGCUUUGUAUUUUAUUUUGUCAAGCAUGUGUUGAUUUAUCCACGGUUUAUCUUUUCUCAGUCGGUUUGUAAACAGUCUGGAAUUUGUUGUAAUGCAAGUUUGUAAAAUCGAUUUAAAAUGUUUCCAUUGUUCUUCCGCAUUUAGUGAAUCUAAACCAUUCCAGUCGUAAGUCAAGAGACUUUCGUCUAUGCGAGUGUAGUCAACAAUUGAUGUUGUUUUAAUUCUUGCAUUUGGCUCUGAAUAUAUCAUAAUUUGUAACUCAAUUUCGAUUUUUGAAUGAUCAGAUGUACCUACAGGAUUCGAAACGUUUAAAGACGAUACAAGGUUAACGUCAGACAAAAUUACCAAAUCAAGUAAUGAAGGACGUUGUUGGGAUCUAAAUCGUGUAGGUUCAGUGACUAUUUGUGACAAAUUAUUCUCCAAGAGCAAUUCAGAAAAUUGUUUUUCGAUGAUUGUUUGACCUGUUGUGUUUUUAGCAGACCAGUCUAUACAUGGAAAAUUGAAAUCUCCCAUGAUAAUUAAGUUAGGAUACUGAUUAAUAGUUGAUUGUAUGGUAUUAAAUAGAUUUUUAUCAUUUUCGUGAUUGUUAAAAGACGCUCCUGUUGGUGGUCUGUAAAUACAUGCUAUAACAAAGGUUUGUUCAUUUCCUUCAAAUUUUAACCAUAGAGAAUCAUAAGGUUUAACAGAUAUGCAAAUUUGAGUAAUUUUAAAAAAUUUUGAAAUUUUAAUUUUAUCUACAUAAAAACACACACCGCCACCUUUUUGAGAUAGGCGAUCAUCUCUGUAAAUAGAGUAAUUUUCAAUGUGUACAGCAUCAUCAGAGAUGGACCGAUUAAGCCAAGUCUCCGUGAGUGCGAUAAUAGAAGGUCUAAAUUCAGUUACUUCUAAUAACAAAUCAUUAAAUUUUGAAGAUAAAGAUGCGAUAUUCGUAUACAGAAGAGCCAUUGAACAAGGUAAUUUCCAGAGGAAACAACAACAACCACAUACACCCAGAUAUCAAAUUCAACAAUCAACACCAAGAAUCAACCACUGAAAAUGAAUCCCAAAGGCAAGAGCACGCAGAGACACGACUGCACUCUCAUACGC